UUGCUCACUUUGGUAGCACAUAUACUAACAUUAGAACGAUACAGAGAAGAUUAGCAUGGCCCCUGCACAAGGAUGACAUGCAUAUUAGUGAAUGAGAGAGCCAGACCU
This is a non-coding RNA of Myotis brandtii (Brandt's bat), 108 nucleotides long. The record is from Rfam. Lineage: Eukaryota; Metazoa; Chordata; Mammalia; Chiroptera; Vespertilionidae.